RNAcentral lists this ribosomal RNA (447 nucleotides) under uncultured bacterium. Its description in RNAcentral is "bacterial SSU rRNA". It matches the Rfam family "Bacterial small subunit ribosomal RNA", at positions 355 to 825 of the family's 1533-position model. The record is from RNAcentral.
UGGGGAAUAUUGGACAAUGGGCGAAAGCCUGAUCCAGCCAUGCCGCGUGAGUGGCGAAGGCCUUAGGGUUGUAAAACUCUUUCGUCGGGGACGAUAAUGACGGUACCCGAAGAAGAAGCUCCGGCUAACUUCGUGCCAGCAGCCGCGGUAAUACGUAGGGACCAAGCGUUGUUCGGAUUUACUGGGCGUAAAGGGCGCGUAGGCGGCUUAACAAGUCACUUGUGAAAUCUCCGGGCUUAACUCGGAACGGCCAAGUGAAACUGUUAAGCUAGAGUGCAGAAGGGGCAAUCGGAAUUCUUGGUGUAGCGGUGAAAUGCGUAGAUAUCAAGAGGAACACCCGAGGUGAAGACGGGUUGCUGGGCUGACACUGACGCUGAGGCGCGAAAGCCAGGGGAGCAAACGGGAUUAGAUACCCCCGUAGUCCCUGAGCGGGCUGGCAAGGCGCAU